CUGGAAAUGAUGCAUAAAUAUAUAUCCUGACUUCCUGUGAAGUAUUUGUAUUCAUACUGUCUGAUCCAG
This is a small nucleolar RNA of Solea senegalensis (Senegalese sole), 69 nucleotides long. The record is from RefSeq and is a predicted model, not a curated record. Lineage: Eukaryota; Metazoa; Chordata; Actinopteri; Pleuronectiformes; Soleidae.